CAAGCCCGUACAAGUCUAUGGAGCUGCAGCAUUAAGCAUCGUCACCUGCUACAGUAUCCCAGGGGCUGUUCAUAGAAGCUGUCAACUGUCACUCGUUUCCAAGACCAUUUUUCCAACCUUGCCUUUGUUAUCAACAACAACAACAAAAAUGAAAUUCUACUUCUGCUGUUACAUAAAGAAUGGAAAGAAAACUAAACACCUGGGAAGAGAUCAGAGACCAAAUGGCAAAAUAGAUAAGGAAUAUUCUUGAUUUAUUUUAAAAAACAAUUGCCAAACAAAUAACAAGUUAUUUGUUAUAAAAUGUUUUAUAUAGAGAUAUUCAAUACAUUUUGAUAAACUAUUAUCUUUAUUAAUUUAUGUGUGUGCAUAUAUCUAAUAAAAGAAGAAAAAGAAUUGCAACUGGGUUUAUGCAGUAAACAGCAACAAAAACAAAUGCACAACAAUGAAAUACUAAAAAACUGAGUUAAUUCAGAGCAAGAAUAAACUAACUGUGAAAAAGUUAAUUAGAGAAAUCUUGAAGAGGUAAUUAGGAUGGAGCAAUAAAAGUAUAAAGAUUGUACUGAUUAUAGGAUUUAAUAUGGGAAACCAGAGUAGAGGUGAACUAAGGGUAUGAAAACGGUUAAAGAAUUAAUGUGUUUGCUAUAGGAUUUAAUGAUUACAAUGGUUAGAGAAAGAAAAAGAGAGAGAGAGAGAGAGAGAGAGAGAGUAAACUUCUAAUAUGUACUAGUUUUGGUAGCUUAAGAGUGGUAUGCUUACACAGAAUUUGAAGUUAUGAAGAUGUUGUACUUAUUGUUAAAUGACCAUGGACAAAGUUGCUGAUAUAAUCUGUUGAUAAGAUAGGGGCAUUUGGCCCAAGGUCUCAAACACACAGUGUAUAUAGACCUUUGAUUUCACCAGGGA
RNAcentral lists this long non-coding RNA (900 nucleotides) under Fukomys damarensis (Damara mole-rat). RNAcentral describes it as "lncRNA (ENSFDAG00000026643.1)". Lineage: Eukaryota; Metazoa; Chordata; Mammalia; Rodentia; Bathyergidae. The record is from RNAcentral.